GACGAACGCUGGCGGCGUGCUAACACAUGCAAGUCGAACGCUGAAGCCCUUUCGGGGGUGGAUGAGUGGCGAACGGUGAGUAACACGUGGGUAAUCUGCCCUGUACUUCGGGAUAAGCCUUGGAAACGGGGUCUAAUACCGGAUAGGACCUGUCCUCGCAUGGGGGUGGGUGGAAAGUUCCUGCGGUAUGGGAGGAGCCCGCGGCCUAUCAGCUUGUUGGUGGGGUAGUGGCCUACCAAGGCGACGACGGGUAGCCGGCCUGAGAGGGUGGCCGGUGACACGAGGACUGAGACACGGCCCAGACUCCUACGGGAGGCAGCAGUGGGGAAUCUUGCGCAAUGGGCGAAAGCCUGACGCAGCAACGCCGCGUGGGGGAUGACGGCCUUCGGGUUGUAAACCUCUUUCGACAUCGACGAAGGGGCCCUGUUGUGGGGUUUUGACGGUAGGUGUAGAAGAAGCACCGGCUAACUACGUGCCAGCCGCCGCGGUAA
This 491-nucleotide ribosomal RNA is filed under the name uncultured bacterium. Its description in RNAcentral is "partial 16S ribosomal RNA". It matches the Rfam family "Bacterial small subunit ribosomal RNA", at positions 28 to 523 of the family's 1533-position model. The record is from RNAcentral.